GGGAGGCUAAAAAUUGCUUUUUGAAAAUGUAUAUUUUAAAUAUUGUUGAAAAAAGUAGGUUGAAAAAUUUGUUUAAUUAUUUUAUAGUUCAAUUUUAAAAAAUUGUAAAAACAUUAAAAAAAAGAUAAUAAACCUUAAAAAAAAGAUAAUAAACCAUCUGGCACUGUGCCAGAGCAUUGAGAAUUUAAAAAAUAAAAUCUUAUAGAAACAGUGUCAUAGUUAUUGUUAAA
This 230-nucleotide unclassified non-coding RNA is filed under the name Hevea brasiliensis (rubber tree). The record is from RNAcentral. Lineage: Eukaryota; Viridiplantae; Streptophyta; Magnoliopsida; Malpighiales; Euphorbiaceae.